RNAcentral lists this ribosomal RNA (1491 nucleotides) under metagenome. RNAcentral's name for it is "bacterial SSU rRNA". It matches the Rfam family "Bacterial small subunit ribosomal RNA". The record is from RNAcentral.
AGAGUUUGAUCCUGGCUCAGAUUGAACGCUGGCGGCAUGCCUUACACAUGCAAGUCGAACGGCAGCACGGGUGCUUGCACCUGGUGGCGAGUGGCGAACGGGUGAGUAAUAUAUCGGAACGUACCCUAGAGUGGGGGAUAACGUAGCGAAAGUUACGCUAAUACCGCAUACGAUCUACGGAUGAAAGUGGGGGAUCGCAAGACCUCAUGCUCAUGGAGCGGCCGAUAUCUGAUUAGCUAGUUGGUGGGGUAAAAGCCUACCAAGGCGACGAUCAGUAGCUGGUCUGAGAGGACGACCAGCCACACUGGAACUGAGACACGGUCCAGACUCCUACGGGAGGCAGCAGUGGGGAAUUUUGGACAAUGGGGGCAACCCUGAUCCAGCAAUGCCGCGUGAGUGAAGAAGGCCUUCGGGUUGUAAAGCUCUUUUGUCAGGGAAGAAACGGGAUUUUCUAAUACAAAGUCCUAAUGACGGUACUUGAAGAAUAAGCACCGGCUAACUACGUGCCAGCAGCCGCGGUAAUACGUAGGGUGCAAGCGUUAAUCGGAAUUACUGGGCGUAAAGCGUGCGCAGGCGGUUGUGCAAGACAGAUGUGAAAUCCCCGGGCUCAACCUGGGAAUUGCAUUUGUGACUGCACGGCUAGAGUGUGUCAGAGGGGGGUAGAAUUCCACGUGUAGCAGCGAAAUGCGUAGAGAUGUGGAGGAAUACCGAUGGCGAAGGCAGCCCCCUGGGAUAACACUGACGCUCAUGCACGAAAGCGUGGGGAGCAAACAGGAUUAGAUACCCUGGUAGUCCACGCCCUAAACGAUGUCUACUAGUUGUCGGGUCUUAAUUGACUUGGUAACGCAGCUAACGCGUGAAGUAGACCGCCUGGGGAGUACGGUCGCAAGAUUAAAACUCAAAGGAAUUGACGGGGACCCGCACAAGCGGUGGAUGAUGUGGAUUAAUUCGAUGCAACGCGAAAAACCUUACCUACCCUUGACAUGUACGGAACUUACCAGAGAUGGUUUGGUGCUCGAAAGAGAACCGUAACACAGGUGCUGCAUGGCUGUCGUCAGCUCGUGUCGUGAGAUGUUGGGUUAAGUCCCGCAACGAGCGCAACCCUUGUCAUUAGUUGCUACGAAAGGGCACUCUAAUGAGACUGCCGGUGACAAACCGGAGGAAGGUGGGGAUGACGUCAAGUCCUCAUGGCCCUUAUGGGUAGGGCUUCACACGUCAUACAAUGGUACAUACAGAGGGCCGCCAACCCGCGAGGGGGAGCUAAUCCCAGAAAGUGUAUCGUAGUCCGGAUUGUAGUCUGCAACUCGACUACAUGAAGUUGGAAUCGCUAGUAAUCGCGGAUCAGCAUGUCGCGGUGAAUACGUUCCCGGGUCUUGUACACACCGCCCGUCACACCAUGGGAGCGGGUUUCACCAGAAGUAGGUAGCCUAACCGCAAGGAGGGCGCUUACCACGGUGGGAUUCGUGACUGGGGUGAAGUCGUAACAAGGUA